Polyodon spathula (Mississippi paddlefish) is the source of this 1919-nucleotide RNA transcript. It is a transcript of the gene named receptor-type tyrosine-protein phosphatase eta-like, with no coding region annotated. NCBI's taxonomy places the organism in Eukaryota, Metazoa, Chordata, Actinopteri, Acipenseriformes, Polyodontidae. The transcript has 8 exons. The record is from RefSeq and is a predicted model, not a curated record.
AUCAAGGAGCUCUGUAAUGGGGUGUGUUGUUCUGUAAAGCACAGUUGUGCCUACCAUUCCAAAAAAUGAAAAUUAUUUAUUUGAUUUUGUUUUUACUGAUAUUUUCUGCUGAGCAGACUUCAGGGGAUGAACGGAUGUAUGAAUCAACUGCUGCAGAGCAGCAUGCCCCAUGCUCCUCGAUCGGAUGGAAAUCGAUGUUGGCUCUGUCAGCGGAAGUAGCUGCUCAACUGAUUGGGGAGGAAGCUGGUUCUGGAGACGAGAGUGUACCUGAGAGGAAGAUCGAAAAUAUGACUAGACUGCUGAAUGAGUCAAGUGGAAAUGGCUGCCACGAUCCGAUAUUUGGAGAGCCUAAUACUGUUGCCAAUUUGACUACCACUACCAUCACCACAACAUCCAUAGCCCUUAGCUGGAGUGCACCAAAUGGCAAUGCCGCUGGCUACAGGGUUGAAGCAGUAGGCAACCCAUCCAAAAAUCUAACUGUGAACACUUUAUUCACUGAUAUAAUUGGACUGGUACCUGGUAGCAAUUACACACUGCAGGUUUUUGCUCUGGCUGCAGAUAAUGUUACAGAAGGAGAUGCAGUGACAAUCUCAAGAUUUACAAAGCCUGCUGUCGUUGCUAGUUUGAUUAUCAGUACCAUCACCACAACAUCCAUAGCCCUUAGCUGGAGUGCACCAAAUGGCAAUGCCGCUGGCUACAGGGUUGAAGCAGUAGGCAACCCAUCCAAAAAUCUAACUGUGAACACUUUAUUCACUGAUAUAACUGGACUGGUACCUGGUAGCAAUUACACACUGCGGGUUAUCACCCUCGCUGCAGAUAAUGUUACAGAAGGGGAUGCAGUGACAAUCUCUAGAUUUACAAGUAUGUUUGGAAAAUACAUUUUAUUAUUAAAACCAGAUAAAAAUGAAUAGAGAAAACAGAGCCUGAUAUUGUUACCAACUUGAUUGCUAAAAACAUCACCAGAACAUCCAUAACCCUCAUGUGGAGUGCACCCCAAGGACAUGCACAUGGAUACAGGGUUGAAGCAAUAGGAACUCCAAACAAAACUGUUACAGUGGACACUUUAUUCACUAAUAUUACUGGGCUUCUCCCUGCUAGCAAUUACACCCUGCAGGUCGUCGCUCUGGCUGCAGACAGGGUAACAGGAGGAGACGCAGUAGCAAUAGUGACAUUUACAAGUGGGCUGGAUACUACUCUGAGAAUGAAAUUAUCUGUUUCUGCAUCAGCCACAAAAGAAAAGGAACUGGAAAGCAUUAUUUUGCCAGAGUUAAUAAAGUAUAUUGAGCAGUAUCUUGAAGACAACAGGUUUUAAUUUAACUCGGAAAGAACAAAGAAGUACAAAUCCUUCAGCCACAACAAACAUUACCGCACUGGACUCCUCAGAAACCAUUACGUCACUAUCAGAAAUGAGUACCAUGAAAAUACACAUAUACAAUUUAUUUUAUUUAUCUCCUACGUUAUGUUUUCAAACUGUUCAGUUUCAUUUCUAAGCUGACUGGCACUGAUCCGUUCUCAUUGGUAAACUGACUGGUCCUGAUCCUUUCUCAUUGGUAAACUGACUGGCUCUGAUCCUUUCUCAUUGGUAAACUGACUGGUCCUGAUCCCUUCUCAUAUGUACAUAAUUGUACUCAUGUUUAUGUUUGUUAGGGAUAUGGGUGGAUGACAAUGAAAUAAUAAGAAGGGGCCUGUCUCUGACCCUGUUUUUAUAUCGGUGUGUUUUAGUGGUUUAUUCUGCUUUUAUUUAAUUACACUGUUCUUGUAUAUUCUUUCAUAUUUGUUAAUCUGUUUUGUAUAUAUUAUAAUAUUUACAUUGUGUUUGUUUAUUUGUGGUGUGGGUAUGGGAUUGUGAAUACUGAAGAUCUCUCUCUAACACUGACGCUAGUUUAUUAUUAUUAUUAUUAUUAUUAUUAUUAUUAUUA